Molecule: ribosomal RNA, 1212 nt
Filed under: Ogeria sp. CW-2013a
Lineage: Eukaryota; Metazoa; Arthropoda; Insecta; Hemiptera; Schizopteridae
Description: SSU rRNA
Rfam family: Eukaryotic small subunit ribosomal RNA
Source: RNAcentral
AAAGUAAAACCGCAAAAGGCUCAUUAAAUUAGUUAUAGUUUACUAGAGUAAAUUUUCUAAAUGGAUAACUGUGGUAAUUCUAGAGCUAAUACAUGCAAUUCAGUCUUAACCAGAAAUGGUUAUAGACGCUUUUAUUAGAUCAAAACCAAUCGAACAGUUUAUCUGUUCGUUUUUUUGAUGACUCUGAAUAACACCGCAGAUCGCACAGUCCUAGUACUGGCGACAUAUCUUUCAAAUGCCUAACUUAUCAACUGUCGAUGGUAGAUUAUAUGUCUACCAUGGUUAUAACGGGUAACGGGGAAUCAGGGUUCGAUUCCGGAGAGGGAGCCUGAGAAACGGCUACCACAUCCAAGGAAGGCAGCAGGCACGCAAAUUACCCACUCCCGGCACGGGGAGGUAGUGACAAAAAAUAACGAUACGGGACUCAUCCGAGGCCCCGUAAUCGGAAUGCGUACACUUUAAAUCCUUUAACAAGGAUCUAUUGGAGGGCAAGUCUGGUGCCAGCAGCCGCGGUAAUUCCAGCUCCAAUAGCGUAUAUUAAAGUUGUUGCGGUUAAAAAGCUCGUAGUUGGUUCUGUGUGCCAUGCUGUUGGUUCACCGCCUGUCGGUGCAACUGACAUGUCAUGGGACGUCCUGUCGGUGGUAAUUGAAGCCUCACUGUUUAGAAAAGGCUUGCCUCUACUAAACGUGGGUAACUUCAAUUACCGAUUAAUUCCCGCCGCGGUGCUCUUUGCUGAGUGUCGAGGUGGGCCGACACGUUUACUUUGAACAAAUUAGAGUGCUCAAAGCAGCAAAAGUCUGCCUGAAUAGUAGUGCAUGGAAUAAUAGAAUAAGAUCUUGGUUCUAUUUUGUUGGUUUUCUGAAUCCAAAGUAAUGAUCAAUAUGGACAGGCGCAGGCGGGGGCAUUUAUUGCGACGUUAGAGGUGAAAUUCUUGGAUCGUCGCAAGACGAACUAGAGCGAAAGCAUUUGCCAAGUAUGUCUUAAUUGAUCAAGAACGAAAGUUAGAGGUUCGAAGGCGAUCAGAUACCGCCCUAGUUCUAACCAUAAACGAUGUCAGCCAGCGAUCCGUCGAUGUUUUUUUCAUGACUCGACGGGCAGCUUCCGGGAAACCAAAGCUUUUGGGUUCCGGGGGAAGUAUGGUUGCAAAGCUGAAACUUAAAGGAAUUGACGGAAGGGCACCACAAGAAGUGGAGCCUGCGGCUUAAUUUGACU